AUGUAGCUGCAUGAGGGAUGGAAGUGGCAUCCUUUUAUAGCACGAUAGCGAUAUAAAAGAUACAACGUACAGCCCGACCUGCC
This is a non-coding RNA of Flavobacterium frigoris PS1, 83 nucleotides long. The record is from Rfam. Lineage: Bacteria; Pseudomonadati; Bacteroidota; Flavobacteriia; Flavobacteriales; Flavobacteriaceae.